UGGGGAAUUUUGGACAAUGGGGGCAACCCUGAUCCAGCCAUUCCGCGUGAGUGAAGAAGGCCUUCGGGUUGUAAAGCUCUUUCAGCUGGAGUGAAACGGUACGCUCUAACAUAGCGUGCUAAUGACGGUACCAGCAGAAGAAGCACCGGCUAACUACGUGCCAGCAGCCGCGGUAAUACGUAGGGUGCGAGCGUUAAUCGGAAUUACUGGGCGUAAAGCGUGCGCAGGCGGAUUGUUAAGCAAGACGUGAAAUCCCCGGGCUUAACCUGGGAAUGGCGUUUUGAACUGGCAGUCUAGAGUGUGUCAGAGGGGGGUGGAAUUCCACGUGUAGCAGUGAAAUGCGUAGAGAUGUGGAGGAACACCGAUGGCGAAGGCAGCCCCCUGGGAUAACACUGACGCUCAUGUACGAAAGCGUGGGUA
Molecule: ribosomal RNA, 420 nt
Filed under: uncultured bacterium
Lineage: Bacteria
Description: bacterial SSU rRNA
Rfam family: Bacterial small subunit ribosomal RNA
Source: RNAcentral